AAGUCGUAACAAGGUUUCCGUAGGUGAACAGGUUUGCCUACUUUAACCCCGGCAGCGACUUGGAAAAAAAAUUGCCAUGAUCGACACCACCCGGCGUCGAUGACAUCGUUCAAUUGCUGAAAAUGCUCGGCGUUUCGCCCUCCCAAUAUCAGCAGCCACGGCUCGGUCGUGGUCCACAGGUCAAACUACGAUGCCCUAUUAAGCGGUAAGAUAUGAUCGGUUCGUGCCCGAGAUCGGGGUCGCGAAGCGCGGAACCUGCGGAAGGAUCAUUACCGAGAGAAAGGGGUCUAACCGGCCCCACUCUUCACCCAUGUAUAUCUACCUCUGUUGCUUUGGCGGGCCACCCGAGCCUAUCGGCUCGGGCGCUGGUCGAGGGGUUCACGCCCCCAGCCCGGUGAGCGCUCGCCAGAAGCCCCCACUAAAAACCUUUUAUCAUGACGUCUGAGUGAAAAUAAACAGUCAAAACUUUCAACAACGGAUCUCUUGGUUCUGGCAUCGAUGAAGAACGCAGCGAAAUGCGAUAAGUAAUGUGAAUUGCAGAAUUCAAUGAAUCAUCGAAUCUUUGAACGCACAUUGCGCCCUCUGGUAUUCCGGGGGGCAUGCCUGUCCGAGCGUCGUUACAACCCUCAAGCACUGCUUGGUAUUGGGUUCCGCCUCCCCGGCGCACCCGAAAUACAGUGGCGGUCCGGCGAGACAUCGAGCGUAGUAAGAUUUAUAUCCCGCUCUUGAUGGCUCUCGCGGUGACUUAGCCAACGACGUAUCUAUUAUCACGAUUGACCUCGGAUCAGGUAGGGAUACCCGCUGAACUUAAGCAUAUCAAUAAGCGGAGGAAAAGAAACCAACAGGGAUUGCCUCAGUAACGGCGAG
Molecule: small RNA, 867 nt
Filed under: Buellia subnumerosa
Lineage: Eukaryota; Fungi; Ascomycota; Lecanoromycetes; Caliciales; Caliciaceae
Description: eukaryotic LSU rRNA
Rfam family: 5.8S ribosomal RNA (bases 464-617)
Source: RNAcentral